This 834-nucleotide ribosomal RNA is filed under the name uncultured bacterium. Its description in RNAcentral is "bacterial SSU rRNA". It matches the Rfam family "Bacterial small subunit ribosomal RNA", at positions 46 to 887 of the family's 1533-position model. The record is from RNAcentral.
GCCUAAUACAUGCAAGUCGAACGAGGUGCUUUCUGUAGCAAUACGAGAGUAUCCUACUGACGAACGGGUGAGUAACGCGUUGGUGACCUGCCCCAAAGUGCGGGAUAACAGUCCGAAAGGACUGCUAAUACCGCAAGUGGUUCUUGGAUUUAGAAACCGAGCUCUAAAGGAGCAAUCCGCUUUGGGAGGGACCUGCGUCCCAUCAGCUAGUUGGUGAGGUAAUGGCCCACCAAGGCUACGACGGGUAGGGGACCUGAGAGGGUGACCCCCCACAAUGGAACUGAAACACGGUCCAUACACCUACGGGUGGCAGCAGUAGGGAAUAUUGGGCAAUGGGCGAAAGCCUGACCCAGCAACGCCGCGUGUGUGAUGAAGGCCUUCGGGUCGUAAAGCACUUUUCUGGGAGAUGAGAAAGGACAGUAUCCCAGGAAUAAGUCUCGGCUAACUACGUGCCAGCACCCGCGGUAAAACGUAGGAGGCGAGCGUUAUCCGGAUUCACUGGGCGUAAAGCGCGUGCAGGUGGCGCGGUAAGUUGGGCGUGAAAUCUCCCGGCUCAACUGGGAGAGGUCGUCCAAUACUACCGUGCUUGAGAGCAGAAGAGGAAGAUGGAAUUCCCGGUGUAGUGGUGAAAUGCUUAGAUAUCUGGGAGGAACACCAGUGGCGAAGGCGAUGUUCUGGUCUGUUUCUGACACUCAGACGCGACAGAUAGGGUAGUAAACGGGAUUAGAGACCCCGGUAAUCCUCGCCGUAAACGAUGUGAACUAGGCGUUGGUGGGUUAAACUCCAUCAGUGCCGUAGCAAACGCGAUAAGUUCACCGCCUGGGAACUACGGCC